This 521-nucleotide ribosomal RNA is filed under the name Clostridioides difficile. RNAcentral describes it as "bacterial SSU rRNA". It matches the Rfam family "Bacterial small subunit ribosomal RNA", at positions 298 to 841 of the family's 1533-position model. The record is from RNAcentral. Lineage: Bacteria; Bacillati; Bacillota; Clostridia; Peptostreptococcales; Peptostreptococcaceae.
GGGUGAUCGGCCACAUUGGAACUGAGACACGGUCCAAACUCCUACGGGAGGCAGCAGUGGGGAAUAUUGCACAAUGGGCGAAAGCCUGAUGCAGCAACGCCGCGUGAGUGAUGAAGGCCUUCGGGUCGUAAAACUCUGUCCUCAAGGAAGAUAAUGACGGUACUUGAGGAGGAAGCCCCGGCUAACUACGUGCCAGCAGCCGCGGUAAUACGUAGGGGGCUAGCGUUAUCCGGAUUUACUGGGCGUAAAGGGUGCGUAGGCGGUCUUUCAAGUCAGGAGUGAAAGGCUACGGCUCAACCGUAGUAAGCUCUUGAAACUGGGAGACUUGAGUGCAGGAGAGGAGAGUGGAAUUCCUAGUGUAGCGGUGAAAUGCGUAGAUAUUAGGAGGAACACCAGUUGCGAAGGCGGCGCUCUGGACUGUAACUGACGCUGAGGCACGAAAGCGUGGGGAGCAAACAGGAUUAGAUACCCUGGUAGUCCACGCUGUAAACGAUGAGUACUAGGUGUCGGGGGUUACCCCC